This 321-nucleotide ribosomal RNA is filed under the name uncultured eukaryote. RNAcentral describes it as "partial 18S ribosomal RNA". It matches the Rfam family "Eukaryotic small subunit ribosomal RNA", at positions 1470 to 1796 of the family's 1831-position model. The record is from RNAcentral.
CCCUUAGAUGUCCUGGGCCGCACGCGCGCUACACUGACAUGUUCAACAAGCCUCCUAGUUCGACAGGAUUUGGGAAAUCUUUGAACGCAUGUCGUGAUAGGGAUAGAUCAUUGCAAUUAUUGAUCUUGAACGAGGAAUUCCUAGUAAACGCGAGUCAUCAGCUCGCAUUGAUUACGUCCCUGCCCUUUGUACACACCGCCCGUCGCACCUACCGAUUGAAUGUUUCGGUGAAGAUUCCGGAUAGGACUUUUUUGAUUUAUUUCAAUUUUGUCUUAAGAGCUAUCUAAACCUCAACAUUUAGAGGAAGGUGAAGUCGUAACA